Priapulus caudatus is the source of this 683-nucleotide long non-coding RNA. RefSeq lists it as uncharacterized. The transcript is spliced from 3 exons. NCBI's taxonomy places the organism in Eukaryota, Metazoa, Priapulida, Priapulimorpha, Priapulimorphida, Priapulidae. The record is from RefSeq and is a predicted model, not a curated record.
UGAGCGAGUGGUGGCGUACAUGAAUGUACGUAUAGUGCAUAGAGCAGCAGCGGACCGCCGCACACGCAUGCCGACACACUCACGCCUGUUGUUGUCCAGUGUAGAAUUUCUUCCGUGUAGGAGAGAGAGAGAGAGAGCACACGCACCCGGUCCGGCGAUCGUCCGAGGCCUCACACGCACGCACAUCUGACAUCGGACUCGAAUCUGCUCGAGGGAUCUUCUUCGUCUUCCGGUGAAAGAAACUCUGUCGUUGUUAGCACCCGCUGCGUAUCGUGUCGUUGAUCUACAGCCAGGUGUAGCGCCUCCGCUACAGGGGAAGUUAUAGAAGCAGCGCUAAUUGUCUGUGUGAUUCGGAUUUCUCUCUCGCUCUCUCGGAGUUCGACAACAUCUGUGUGAAAUGUGGCGGAAGAUGAAGAAAUGAUGACCAUCUUUGCCAUCUUCGUCUGCCUCGAGCAUACAUUAUCAUAAGUGUGGGUGUGUAGUAAAGAAAUAGAGAGAUAAUACCGACAUCAUAACGCUGUUAUACGCGGCUGGACACGCAUAUAGACAUAGAACCCGAGCAGUAAUCCCAGUGGAUAUUUGACCUAAAAAAGAUUAAAGCGAAAACGCCGAGGACUAGUACCAGCACAGACGACAGGCAUGGGCCGCCGCUAUCUAGCGCCAGAGGGAUGUGCGGCUCGCUA